Molecule: long non-coding RNA, 4632 nt
Filed under: Sus scrofa (pig)
Lineage: Eukaryota; Metazoa; Chordata; Mammalia; Artiodactyla; Suidae
Description: lncRNA (ENSSSCG00000053519.1)
Source: RNAcentral
GGAGGGACUGAUGCCUGCCCACUGGUAGGUGGGGCUGAUUCCUAUCCCUCUGGUGCGUGGGGCUUUGUCUCUGGGUGAGAUUAGGGACAGGUGUGCAUCAAUGGUCUUUAGGCAGCCUCUUUACUGAUGGGUAGGGGGUGGGAUCCCACCUGGAUUGUUGUUUGGCCUGGGGAUUCUCAGCACUGAUGGGUGGGACUAGAUUUUCCCAAAAUGGCUGCCUCCAGAGAAAGGCAUGCUGAUGAAUAUUCCCAAGAGCAUUGCUUCCAAUGUCCUUCCCCCACAACGAGCCACAUUCACCCCUGUUUCCAGGAAGUCCUCCAAGAACUGCAGUCAGGUCUGACCCAGAUUCCUAUGGAGACCUUGCUUUGCCCUGGGACCCAGUGCACGUGAAAGUCUGUGCAUGCCUUUUAAGAAGGGGUCUCCAUUUCUCCCAGUCCUGUGGAGAUCCUGCACACAAGCCGCACUGGCUUUCAAUGCCAGAUGCUCUGGGGGCUCUUUCUCCCAGUGCCAGACCCCCACACGUGGGAGUUUGAUGUUGGGCUCAGAACUCUCACUGCUGUAGGUGAGUCUCUGUGAACCAGUUACUUUCCAGUCUGUGAGUCUUCCCACCCAGGAGGUAUGUGGUUGUUUAUAUCAUGUAAUUGCCCCUCCUAACUCUUGAUGUGGCCUCCUCUUUGUCUCCUGGAGUAGGAUAUCUUUUUGAAAGUUUCUGGUCCAUUUGGUUGACGUUUGCUCAGUAUUUGGUUGUAAAUUUUAUUGUUUUUAGGAGAGAAUUUGAGCUCCAGCUCUUUUAUUCUUCCAUCUUAAUCCCAUCCUAUUUCUAUAAUUUUAAUGAAGAGCAACUCUGAAAGACUAUAGUUUAAAAUAAUACACUUUAUUUCUAAAUUGUUUUUGGCUUUUUUAGGGCUGCUUCUGUAGCAUAUGGAGUUUCCCAGGCUAGGGGUCGAAUCAGAGCUAUAGCUGCUGUCCUACACCACAGCCUCUGCAACAUGGGAUCCAUGCCUAGUCUGUGACCUAUACCACAGCUAAUGGCAAUGCCAGAUCCUUAACCCACUGAGCAAGGCCAGGGAUCAAACCCACAUCCUCAUGGAUACUGGUUGGGGCCAUUAACACUGAGCCACAUUGUGAACUCCUCUUUCUGAAAAUUUUUAAACUUUUACUUGUUAUACUAAAAUAAUUAAAAUUACUAAAAUACAAUUUUUAUAGCUAAUUAUAAUCUGGAAAUGCAAUAAUAAGUAAUUGGUAGGCUUAUCGGUUUAGGUGCAUGGACUUAUAUGGGAGCAAGCAGAGAGAGGAUAGAGAAGAGGGAUAUCCUUUGCCAUAAAAAAGACUGAAAAGGAAAUUUGAUUAGAACUGAAAAUCACUCUGUGUACCAUGUGUUUCCACCAAAAUGAAUAGUCUCUAUCUUUAUAUAGAAUGACAUAUUAAUUUUUGACUUUUUAAAUCCAAUGAUUUCUUUUCUAGAUUAUAGAAGAAACCUAAAAACAUCUAUAUUAAAUCUAUCAGUCCAAUAAAGGAAAGUUAAUAAACUACCAGAAGGAUUUGAGGGGAAAAAUGAAUACAGCUAGAUUGAUUUUGGAGAUUAUCAAUGCCUUAUCUUAUUACCAAACCAACUUUUUAUCUAAAUGGGAAUAGUCUUCUUUUGUCCUUUCUGAAUAUCAGUCCUUUGGAUGAUAUGUGUCAUCACAUAUUUUCUUAAUGCUGUUAGAGCUUUUAUGGGCAUGUGGAUGUGGGAGGGACAAUAAGCAUUUGCAGAAAAUCUUCAUCUCGGUGACUUUUCUAGUGCCAUCUGGAUUCCUGCAUAUUCUCUACAUGUCUCUUCAGAAGAAGAAUUAGAUUAAAAAAAAAAAAAAAAAGAUAAAAGGAUGUAAACAGGCAAAGGGAAAGGAAACGCUCUCUUGUUCAACUCCCCCGGUCGAGCUGCUUCCUGAUUAAAAUACUAAUCUAUGGCACUUGGCCUGUGAAGUCCAUGCUGAGGCAUGAAAGAGUUUGGCAUGAUCAAAUGAGUCUAUCUUUUCUGCCUCCUUCUGUCAGCAGGAACUGAGCAAUCCAGCCUGGUGAUUGGAAGAGCACAUUUUCUUUGUCCUGCACAUGCUGUAUUUAUCCUUCACAAAUAUCCACACAACUCAGCAGGGAUUUGGCUGAGAGAGUAGGAUCACUCCUUGCAGAAAAACUGGUAAUAAAUCUGGGAGGCUUUGUACAAGAUCUGAAAGCUGCCUUCAGAAUUUGCCGGAGGAGGUGUGUAUAGCCAGGAGUAAGGAGAUUAUGUAAAGUACAGAGGAGAACUAGGCGAGCUUGACAGGGCAAGGACCAGGUCACAAUGCCCUCUGAAUAUUCUCUUAACAAGAGGGAGUUAGAGAUUUAGAUGGUGGUCUGAGUAUAUAACCUUUUCCUUCUACUACUGGGGGUUAAAUAGGAAGUUUGCAAGCUCUGUUUUCCCUUGAAAUAUUUAGACAUUUAAAGGACAUUUUCUCUCUCUUUCUUAGACAGCAUGCUUUUAAGGGCCGUUUCAAUUUUGUACUUUUACCUUAAGUAUGGCUCCAUGGUACUUAUUUUGAAUGUCCUCUAAAUUAUUCUUUUUUUUUUCUCCCAAUAAUUUGGAAAAUAUGCUUUGGAAAUGGGUUCUGGAAAUGAGAUUUCAGUGUGCUCAGAGGAAUACCUUCAUUUGCAUUCACCUGGAACGCUUAUUAAAAGGUGUUAGAAUCUGGCCAUCACCCCUCCCCACCAAGAAGAGAGAAUUUGAAUCCUCUAGUGUGGGGCUCUGAAAUCUGCUCUUUUAACAAAGACUCUCCAGUGGUUCUGAUACACACUAAUGCUGGGACCUGCUGUUUUAGAAAGUUAGUAGGAGGAUAGAUUGGCAAAGAGAAGACAGGGUGACAAGCUGUGAAAAUAAACAAACCAGGUGAAAUUUUUUUUUUCAACCAUUGUUUUGGCAUAGUGUGAGCAUAGCUAAAUAUAUACCAUGUUUGCUUUGGAAUGCUACUUUACCCAUAAUAUAUAUUCAUGAGGCUUUUUCUUAACAAACAUCAAUUUCAUAAAUAGGAAUGAAAAGUUUCUAAAUCUAAUUUGACUGAGUCUGGAAAACAGAACAAGAAAUCUCAUAGGGAACAUCUUUUUGUCUAACCUUACAAAGAGAAUCAUUGUUUCCUAUUUACUUUCCUCUUUAUCAAACACCUCUUCUAAUAUUGCAUUCUUGUAAAGCAUAGAUCGGGAAACUGAACCAGGCCCUCAGGGAGAGAGGAAAGCUAGGCCUAGAUGUUCUCAAAUAAAAUAUAUUAAUAUAAUGAUUAUAAAGGUGCUUUGAUGAGGAGAGAUACAUCAGGGAGUAUUUGGUUGGUAGGCCUCAAUAACUUUUAUUAAGUUAUUUGAAGGAAUAUUUACCAGUAACAAAAAUGUUUAUUCUUAAAUACACAUUUCUCUCCAUGGAUUUUCAAAAACCAUACCAGCUUCAUCAGACUUUUUCUCUCUGUUCAGGAAACAUAUGUUUUUGACUAUAGUAAACAUGGAAGUGAAUAUAAUAGUACCUACAAGAUAGAGAUUUUGGGAAAUGAGAAAAUAUUUCUCUAUUUCAAUUUUAGGAUUAAAGAAUGAAAUUCCCAGUAUGGAUAUGGACCUCACAUGUGGUGGUCCUUCUGCUAAAAUGAGCCUUCUGCUAAAAUUCUGUUAUUCAUUCACUAAGACAACCAAGAUUUCCUUUUGGAGAGUUGCAAGUAUAGUAAUGUUUCAGGUUGAAAAAAUUAGGGGAAACAGAUUAUUAGAUUAAUUAGAUAAUUAGAAAUAUCACAGCUGUACACUUUGACAGCACAUUUAGUAUCUUUGUGUUAAUGAAGCAGACCAUAAAUUCUCCAAAAAUGAAAUUUACAGAAAUGUUUAUUUAUCUGAUGUUUAUUGUGAAAGUUGAUUAAAAAAAAGACUCAUUCUAAGAAACUAGGCUCUUGUAGAUAGUAAUCAAGGGCUUGUUUUUAUAGUCUUCAUUUCAUAUUUCUUUAUUCAUAAUCAUACAAAAAAUGUAUUGUAUAUUUGUACUUUUUAUGCAUAUCUUUAGUUCAGUUGUAAGAUAUUUAUUACUGGCUUUCACAAUUGAACCACUAAUGAGGUGGUAGAAUUGUAGCCUUGUAUCUCUACUAAGCAAAAUACAAAUCAAAAAUCUUGUACUCUCAAAGGGAGUUGUUAUUUCUUUUUUCAUCUUCUUUUUUCUUUAUUAGGGCAUACAAGAUUAUUUUCUAAGAGAGCAGAUAUUAUUUUCUGCCAUUUAAAUAUUCUUUCAAAUAUCUUCCUAGUAAGGAAGAGAAUAUUUUCUCCUGUUGUCAAAAAGCACAGCUGUGAGUUUUUCUAAUUGCUCAAUUAAUAUAAUGAUAUACUUUCCCUAUCAUUAUCAACUAAUAUGUUUCAGCACCCAAGCUAUAUUCUUUACUGGAGCUUUCUUGUUUGUUUUUGAUAAUACUGACUUAUGAAAUUGUGAAGAUGCUUAUUAUAAUUUAGUAAUAUAGGCUCCAUAUUUUCUACUAUGAAUGUAUUGGCUUUUGAACCUGGAAAAAUGUUGCUUCGUGCAAAAUGUCUCAACUAAAAGUUACUUUAGUAUUUUCACCUUUGUUUGAAUUUCAUCAACUGCUUUCCUAGAAUUACAUAUGU